UACAGAGACUGCAAGCGUUAUUCGGAUUCACUGGGCGUAAAGGGUGCGCAGGCGGUUGGGUGUGUCAGAUGUGAAAUCCCGAGGCUUAACCUCGGAACUGCGUCUGAAACUACUCGACUAGAGUACUGGAGAGGGAAACGGAAUUCACGGUGUAGCAGUGAAAUGCGUAGAUAUCGUGAGGAACACCAGAGGCGAAGGCGGUUUCCUGGACAGUUACUGACGCUCAGGCACGAAAGCAUGGGGGAGCAAAAAGGG
This 255-nucleotide ribosomal RNA is filed under the name uncultured bacterium. Its description in RNAcentral is "partial 16S ribosomal RNA". It matches the Rfam family "Bacterial small subunit ribosomal RNA", at positions 524 to 777 of the family's 1533-position model. The record is from RNAcentral.